GAAAUGACAUGAAGACUCACCAGCUGCUUUCGGCAAUGAAAAGAGAACACAUUGUGAUUGCCAGGGUCUUUAACAUGCCCAGUACACUGUGAACCUCCAAGAGAAUAGAAAUUGACCACAAUACAUUUCGAACAGAAGGCCAUAUGAAGAUCUCCCAGACCAAGAAAAUACCAGCGAACAAAGCCUAGAAAAUGCUGUCUUCCAGGAGGCUUGGAAGUACUUAAGCUGCUUUUGAACUCGGAUACCUGUUCUGCACCCUGGCCAGUUGUCAUGAGAUAUGCAUGUCCAGCAACAGAAGAGAUGCCUUGGAGAGAUGUCUUAAGCACCCAUUAUCAGUGAUGUCAAAAGAUGGCAGAAGGGAGAAAAAGAGGAUUCAAAAAAAAAAAGCACAGAAUAAUUUCUCAGGGGGAGGACUUCUUGAAUGCAUUGUAAUUUUGCUCUCAAGUAGGAAUUGUAAACCUUCACGGAGUGAAUCUUUGUCUCUCAGGGAGAGGAGAUUUCCCUUCCCGGCUUGCUCAGGGCUCCAGUCUGCCUCACCCACGACCAUCCCUCAUCAUAACUGUGACUGUUAUGCUUCUAGUUGA
This 584-nucleotide long non-coding RNA is filed under the name Oryctolagus cuniculus (rabbit). RNAcentral's name for it is "lncRNA (ENSOCUG00000032128.1)". Lineage: Eukaryota; Metazoa; Chordata; Mammalia; Lagomorpha; Leporidae. The record is from RNAcentral.